This 355-nucleotide unclassified non-coding RNA is filed under the name soil metagenome. RNAcentral describes it as "partial contains 5.8S ribosomal RNA, internal transcribed spacer 2, and large subunit ribosomal RNA". The stretch from base 1 to 120 matches the Rfam family "5.8S ribosomal RNA", at positions 35 to 154 of the family's 154-position model. The record is from RNAcentral.
GAUGAAGAACGUAGCGAAAUGCGAUAAGUAAUGCGAAUUGCAGAAUUCAGUGAAUCAUCGAAUCUUUGAACGCACAUUGCGCCCGCUAGUAUUCUGGCGGGCAUGCCUGUCUGAGCGUCAUUUCAACCCUCGCCCCCGGCUUUUGCUGGGAGCGGUGUUGGGGAUCGGCCGCCCGUCACUGGGAGGCCGGCCCCGAAAUAGAGUGGCGACCACGCCGUGUGCUCCUCUGCGUAGUAGUAAAUAACCUCGCAGGCGGACAGCGGUGCGGCCUGCCGUAAAACCCCCAACUCUUUCUGGUUGACCUCAGAUCAGGUAGGAAUACCCGCUGAACUUAAGCAUAUCAAUAAGCGGAGGA